UCUUUCCAGAGGAGGAACACGGAAAAAUCAGCCUUGUGGGUGAACAGGAGGAGAGUCACAUUCGCCAGCAGGCAGCACCCUGUGCAGGCAGCGGGAGAAAUCCGAGCUUCAGCAGCGUCCAGAGCAGGAUUUGCACAAAGUCUCCCGUUUCAAGUUUUAUGUCUCCUAGAGUCCUGGGGAAGGCACCCAGCCCACCCACAGCUCCCUUCUCAGAGCCCUAAGAAUUGAUGAGAAAGCCCCUCACUACCACACGCAGGACACGCAGAAACUUCAGAUGAGUGGACUGGUCACGUGAUACAGCAAUGACAAAAACUUCAGUAUUGGCAUUCAUUCCAGCUGAUGGCAUUCCAGGAGCUUUUAAUGAAUUAAAGCCACAUUUGCCUGAAGAAGCCAGAGAAGUUACUAACUGGUUCAAAAACGAUUACAUGCGUGAUGGGCAGUAUUGUUGCAGUUCAAUCACCAGUAUUGCUUCCACCAGAUUUGUGGUCUAUAUAUGUGUGCAUAUGGAAUAGAUUUCCACAGACCCACAACACGGAAACAUGGCACAGAAGAUGGGAAAACUUAAUGGGGAAUACUCAUGUAGAUGUGUACUAAACCAUAGAAGAAUUUUGAAAAGAGAAGUGUCACAUAGAAAAUAAAUGUGAACAUAUUCUCCAAGGACAGCCAUGUCCUAAAAGAAAAAAAGCAGCCUUUUUUUGUGAUGUGAGACUUCAAAAUAUAGUUAAUGACUGUGAAAGUUGGCCAGCUCUUAUGGACUAUCUCCAUGCAAUUGCCUAUAAUCUAGCUCCAUACUUUUUUAUUUGUUGAAUUUUCUUUUUAGUUUUUUGUUUUUGUUUGUUUUUUAGAUUUUUUCACUAUUUGAAAUUGUCAGCAUUAUGUUUUAUAAUUUGUUAUGCUACCUAUUUCAUCUUUGCAUCAUUUCCAAUACUGUAUGCAUCGUAUAGAGAGUUUUAGAGAGUUCUAAUUUGCUUUGUGCAUUUUUGCAAAUGUAACUCCAUGAAAGUAUAUUAUCAAAAUGUUGAACUUGUGUGUAAGCAGCAUGUGUGUGCAUAAAGACAUUAAAACUUCCUCAUUAAAUGAAAUUGUAUCUUCUUUGUACAUCUGCUUUUAUGAAAAAUAAAAUUUCUCAAUGCCUUGGCUCUUUGGGCAACUGAUGUGGUGGUGAUAUGGUGGUGACUCAUCACGGUUUUUGAUCAAUCUUAUCAAAAGACUUAGAAGAAGCUAAGAAUCACAGUAUUUCAGAUGACUGCUGUAUAAAGCUGGGGGCACACAAUUACCAACCAUAGUGUGAUAUACAUUUUUAUAUUUUGCUUUUUGAUCUAUUUCUUUAUGAAUAUGGUUCAUCUGCUCAUAACUGUUAUACCCAUGUGACUGUUGUUGGUAUAUCUGAGUGUUUCUGCUUGCAAAAAUAUGGUAUUAUUGUCCAUUUUAUUGUGUAAAGUAGCCUAUGAAGAGUUCUGUCAUGUUUUUAUAUGUUUCUUAAAUAAAUCCCCUUUAAAAAUGUAAGUAAAUAUUUUACAACAUUUUGAAAAAGUUUUUUGUUUUUUUUUUUUUAAACGGAGUCUUGCUUUUUUUUGUCAUUGCCCAGGCUGGAGUGCAAUGGCACAAUCUCAGCUCACCGCAACCUCCACCUCCUGGGUUCAAGCGAUUCUCCUGCCUCAGCCUCCAGAGUAGCUGGGAUUACAGGUGUCCGCCACCAUGCCUGGCUAAUUUUUGUAUUUUUAGUAGAGAUGGGGUUUCGCCAUGUUGGCCAGGCUGGUUUUGAACUCCUGACAUCAGGUGAUCCGCCCACCUCGGCCUCCCAAAGUGCUGGGAUUACAGGCGUGAGCCACUGCGCCCGGCUGAAAAAGCUUUUUUCUAAAAUAUUUUUGGGAUUUUGAUUUUUCAGGAUUUUAACAUUGGGGAUGAUGGCAUUUGGGAUUAUGAUUAGCUCCCAUCUUGGACUUCUGGCCUCUAGAAUUGUGAGAAAAUAAAUAUCUGUGAUUUAA
This 1988-nucleotide non-coding RNA is filed under the name Pongo abelii (Sumatran orangutan). The record is from RNAcentral. Lineage: Eukaryota; Metazoa; Chordata; Mammalia; Primates; Hominidae.